AUGAUGAAAGAAAAAUCAUACUAUGAACAAAUGCAACCUAAUAUCAAGGUAUUUAUGUUUAUAUAUUAACUUAAUUUUUGUUUCUUAACCUGAUGUUUCGUUAAUGACAUGGUUCGUGUAUUUGUCGAGGGGCUGAUGCAUUUGAAGGGGCUAUCGAGAUUAUUUAUAUUAACCUAAUAUCAAGCUGCUGGAUUGAAGGCCAGCUUGGUUUGGACCAAGUCAGAUUGAGAACUACAACUGUAUGUGUCUUGGUUUGCAGUCUCUAUGAUCAUGUUUUCAAAAGUUGAGCACUCGGUGGAUGGUUUAGCCAGGCAGAUGCAUUUAGGUUUGAAACACAUAUGAUAGUGGAUGGUGCAAUAACCCUGCAUAAGACUGAUUUCUAUGGUGAAGGGGUACUAUCGGCCCGACUGAUGCACCUUGCAGAGUUUACGAGGAUCCUACAGUAAUUAGAAGACGAGGUGUUGCCACCAAGGGUAGAGUAAGGAAUGGGUUCUUAUUAGUAUGUGAUUUGGAGGCUGAUUUGCUAAUGUUUUGGGCACUUUUGGAAGUUGUUUUCAAGUUAUCUUGAACCAUUAUUUAUGAUGCUUAUAUUCUCAUGAUCGUAUUUCUGUUCAUAUAUACAUGCUUCUCCAAACUUUUUGAAGAAAAAAGAGAGGUUGAGGGAAGAGUUUACCAAGAACAUUUAUGCAUUGCAAAUUUCAAAGAGUGUUGGAGCUACAUACCCCGGUUUAGGAUUCCCCACUAACCAGCCCCAAAUGUCAGAAGAAUCCCUUAAAGGUGUUCACUUAUGUGAGGCCUGUAGCUGUUUCAAAGGAGUAAAUGAUCUCUCUAAAUCAAUAUUGGAAGUUUCUUCCCUUUUACACUAUAUGUACAAACAAGUUUUCAUGUGAAUCAUGUAACAAAGCAAAUGUCAUUUAACAUUUGAUUUUGAUAAUUACU
This is a long non-coding RNA of Erigeron canadensis, 939 nucleotides long. RefSeq lists it as uncharacterized. The record is from RefSeq and is a predicted model, not a curated record. NCBI's taxonomy places the organism in Eukaryota, Viridiplantae, Streptophyta, Magnoliopsida, Asterales, Asteraceae. The transcript is spliced from 4 exons.